Molecule: ribosomal RNA, 367 nt
Filed under: Ceratobasidiaceae sp. UAMH 6098
Lineage: Eukaryota; Fungi; Basidiomycota; Agaricomycetes; Cantharellales; Ceratobasidiaceae
Description: eukaryotic LSU rRNA
Rfam family: Eukaryotic large subunit ribosomal RNA (bases 306-367)
Source: RNAcentral
GUGAAUCAUCGAAUCUUUGAACGCACCUUGCGCUCCUUGGUAUUCCUUGGAGCAUGCCUGUUUGAGUAUCAUGAAUUCUUCAAAGUAAAUCUUUUGUUAAUUCAAUUGGUUUCACUUUGGUAUUGGAGGUUUUUUGCAGCUUCACACCUGCUCCUCUUUGUGCAUUAGCUGGAUCUCAGUGUUAUGCUUGGUUCCACUCGGCGUGAUAAAUUAUCUAUCGCUGAGGACACUGUAAAAGGUGGCCAAGGUAAAUGCAGAUGAACUGCUUCUAAUAGUCCAUUGACUUGGACAAUACCUUUAUGAUCUGAUCUCAAAUCAGGUAGGACUACCCGCUGAACUUAAGCAUAUCAAUAAGCGGAGGAAAAGA